This is a non-coding RNA of Phthorimaea operculella (potato tuberworm), 72 nucleotides long. The record is from the annotation of a GenBank genome assembly. NCBI's taxonomy places the organism in Eukaryota, Metazoa, Arthropoda, Insecta, Lepidoptera, Gelechiidae.
GUAUCGAUAGUUUAGUGACAGAGCGGUGGGGCAUUGACCUAUGCGGUCCAGGUUUGAGCCCCGGUCGAUGCA